RNAcentral lists this transfer RNA (75 nucleotides) under Ictidomys tridecemlineatus (thirteen-lined ground squirrel). RNAcentral describes it as "tRNA-Ala (GGC) (tRNA-Ala-GGC-4-1)". The stretch from base 2 to 66 matches the Rfam family "tRNA". From Rfam's summary of the family: Transfer RNA (tRNA) molecules are approximately 80 nucleotides in length. Lineage: Eukaryota; Metazoa; Chordata; Mammalia; Rodentia; Sciuridae. The record is from RNAcentral.
GGGUGUUGCUCAGUGGUAAAGCACAUGCUUGGCAUGCAUGAGGUCCUGGGUUCAAUCCCCAGCACCAAAAAAACA